AACGAACGCUGGCGGCAGGCUUAACACAUGCAAGUCGAACGGGCGUAGCAAUACGUCAGUGGCGGACGGGUGAGUAACACGUGGGAAUAUGCCUUUCGGUUCGGAACAACUCGGGGAAACUCGUGCUAAUUCCGGAUACGCCCUUACGGGGAAGGGAGUUUAUCGCCGAAGGAUUAGCCCGCGUUGGAUUAGCUAGUUGGUGAGGUAAUGGCCCACCAAGGCGACGAUCCAUAGCUGGUUUGAGAGAACGACCAGCCACACUGGGA
Molecule: ribosomal RNA, 266 nt
Filed under: uncultured bacterium
Lineage: Bacteria
Description: partial 16S ribosomal RNA
Rfam family: Bacterial small subunit ribosomal RNA
Source: RNAcentral